UUUAAAUACGUCGGAACUCCCAUUGUACAGUUCUCUCCAGUGUACGGCUCUUAGAGCGUGUGCUGUCUGUCUAUGCAACAAAUGGAAAUGGAGAAAAUCGCCAGUGGAACGUGUCUCUCGUGUUUACAGUCGGAGAUCAGAGAGUUCACCUCUUCGCUGUCCUGUAGGUAGUUCGCUUCGAGCCUCCGCUAGCGAGAUGGAUUGAGUCGCCUUUUCCGGAUGCACGUGUGGACAUGGAGAACAAAAUGGAGUUUGGGAUCUCCACAGGUGCCGUGAGCACUAACUGAAGACUGCUUGGGGAGCAAGGUGGAGUUCCCUGCCGCCACAGGCAGUUGGGUGCCUGGCUACUGUCCCUGUUGAAGGUCUGGCGUCGGCCAGCUACCUUUUUGGGUGUCUGAAUUUGUGACCCGCGUGGCUGUGUAGGUAUGUCGGCUCAGUGGUACGGCUCCUCCCGUGUGACCACCUGCAGGCCGUUCAGCGAGGCUGGGCCUGCUCUGUGGCCCGUGUCCUUUCCUGUGGUGUCUGCUAGAGAGACCGGGGCGGUUUGAGGCUUUGCUGUCAGUCUCCGCGGCAAGGUUAUAUAAACCUCGGACACCGACGUACUCCCGCUGAUCGCCCUGCCCACCUCAGACUGCGAUGUAGGGUGACGGGCUUUCACCGGCAUUGGAAACGAAGCUUUUAUUCUACAAACGGUUCCUUUUGUUUUAAUGUAGAUUGUGUCUUAAGACCUGUUCAAAUGACUGCUUUAAUUCAGAACCAUGUUUUUUGAACUUAAACUUUUAAAGGUGAAUGUUUGUGUAGAUGCGAAGAUUGCCCAGAGUGCGAUUUUUCUCCAGCAGUACUGUUUCUUGUCCACAGGUGGCAGCACACGCAGGGAGGAGUGACGUCCAGCGCAUUGAUGUGAAAUGUUGAGCUUUUAACUAACUCUGAAUAAAUUUUUUUUUACUACAUUAA
This is a long non-coding RNA of Anguilla anguilla (European eel), 954 nucleotides long. RefSeq lists it as uncharacterized. The transcript has 3 exons. The record is from RefSeq and is a predicted model, not a curated record. Lineage: Eukaryota; Metazoa; Chordata; Actinopteri; Anguilliformes; Anguillidae.